This is a long non-coding RNA of Fukomys damarensis (Damara mole-rat), 2036 nucleotides long. NCBI's taxonomy places the organism in Eukaryota, Metazoa, Chordata, Mammalia, Rodentia, Bathyergidae. The record is from Ensembl.
GACACGGGUUAGGGCAGCGGGACAAAGGCUGGGAUACUUACUGGUCACCCCGUGUCUGCAGGCAGCGGCCCACGCCGCCGGGUGUGGUGCUUUCUAAGGCACAGGGUGCUCAGCGUACGGUAGAGCCGCAGAGGGUGGUGUAAGACACAAAUCCGCCCUUUUUUUAUUUUUUGAAGACAGAUUAUUAAAUAUAUUUGUAAUGGACUCACAGGGACUUAUAGGAAAAGUCUCCUGGCAAGAAGGACAGAGCUCUGGAAAUUCUAAUUGCUUUUGCUUAUUUUAUUAAACUACUAUGUUUUCAUAGUAUAUCUAGAUUCAUGACUUUCAUAUUCCUUUAGUAAAUUGCAGCUUCUAUCGCCACAUAAUUUCUCUUUGUAGCUUACGCAAUUCUUCUCAUCCUAAACUCUACCUUUUCUGAUAGCACUAUUGAAUUCUUAAAUUAAUUAGCCAUUUCUUGCAAGCUCUUGGCCUACCUAUUUUUUUCCAGUAUCAUUAGAGCAUUUAACCACUUUUUAAACCUGGUUCGACAGAAUAGGGUUCAUUCACAUUUAGAGUAAAACCUCCAUGUCUGAUUUUAUUCCUUUUAUUUUACACUAUAUAUUUUACAUGCUGUUUCAUCUUUUCCCUUCUUUUCUUUUGUUGGCUUAAUUUUCCUAUUUCCUCUUUAUCUUUGUGUGAGUGUGAGAGUUCAAUUUCCAGAGCACCCACCACCAAAAGCUUUCUGUUAUACCAUUAUAUGAAAAUGUACUUUUUUCCCAACAAGCCUGUCUACAAGCUGGGAAAUGGUUUAUUUCUUUUUUUUUUUUUUUUCUCAACUUUCCAUCCUUCCCUGCCCCACCCUUUGGUUUUACUCAAGUAUAUUUAGUUCCUGACCAGAAUUACCAUUUCACUGUACAUUUAUGUAUUUUUGGUUAUGUUUCUUCUGUUUCAAGACUCUAUACAAUUAGUUGUUUGUCUAAGGACUUUUAUACCAUUGGUCAACUUUAGUUACAGCUUUAGACAAACUUUGGUACCCUUGACCAAGCUUUAAUUAGCAUUCUCUGAGCCCUCUUUCCACAUAGCCCCAACUAUUGGGGUGUACAGUGCCCUUAGCAAGAAUCUUGUCAAGUCUGAUUUAGCGAGAAUUCUCCCCUCUAACUAUAUAGCCACCUCUUUGAGUGUGUGUGUGUGGGGGGGGUGUGUAUCUGCAUCUGUGUACUGUACUGUACCUAGGGCCUUCACAAUGAGACAUUCCCACCCCUUUAAAAAUUUUUUUGAGAGCUCAAACUUGAGAACCUCCUGCUUGGGCCUCCCAGAAUGCUGGUGUGCGCUACCACACCCGCUAGUCACCUGAUUUGUACCUCACUAUUCCCCAGAUAAUGUGUCUUCAGCUAGAAUCCUGUUAGGUCAGUGUAAUGAGAACCCUAACCUCUUAGUAAUUUUCCAGCCCUGACCAUUCCCCACCGUGUCCUUGAUAUAAGUAUCCACUUUUCCUUCUUGUAUUUUAAGUUGACCCAAAUCUCUUGCAAAUCCCUGUUCUAAUACUUCCUAUACAUACUGUGAUACUUCUGAAUAAAUUCUGUCUUACCAUUUUACAGUCAGAAUAUUUUUGUUUGAUUUUCUACAAGAUGAUUUUGCAUUAAAUAAUUGUAUUUCAGAGAUGAGUUAUAAAAUUUUAGGGGAGGUUUUCUCUUACAAAUGCUGAAUAUUAAUAUUGAACAAUCAUGUAGUUUGGAUAUGGUGAGAAUAGAGCUUUCCCACAUCCUCAAAAUAUGAUUUACAUAGAAAAUAAUCUCUGGAUGUACUUUUUUUUUAAAAAGGAAAAUCCAAAGCAAAUAAAUCACACUGCUAACUCUGGUACACCUAGCCAUCAGUCACAUAACAGCUGAGGAAGAUACCUAAUGAAUGUUCAUCAAAUAUUUUCCAAUGACUGGAUAAAUCAAUGACUCAUAGGGAUUAUGAUAAUCAAUAUUGAUAACUUACCACUGAAGUUUUGGGUUACUUUUUUUGGAAAAUUAGUAGCUUCUCUACUAGCCAACUUAUUGACCUGUUUUACU